Molecule: non-coding RNA, 3504 nt
Organism: Pogona vitticeps (central bearded dragon)
Lineage: Eukaryota; Metazoa; Chordata; Lepidosauria; Squamata; Agamidae
Source: RefSeq, a predicted model, not a curated record
CCCAGACACGCACCCUCCUCGCUCCCGCCGGCCCACUCCCCCCCCUUCUCUCUCUCUCUCGGCUGGCUUCAGUUGUAACUCUUAUCUAAGGAGGAGGAAAAAAGAAAGCGAGGAUGCCCAAGUUAUCUUUCCGCAGCCAAUGGGGGAGGCGGUCGCGCCUCACAUGACUCUGUUUCCAGACCCCCCCCCUCCCCAAUCUUCUUCACACGGGCAGGAUUGAGGAGUUCUUCAGUAGAGCAACUGCCGCUCGCCCAGCCGGCGGGGCCGCGUCAAGUGGGGGAAUGUCUGCGACCCAAGGCGAGCGCGGCUUUCUUCCGAGCUGGGGCUUGACACGCGCCCCCGACACGCGCGCCCGGCGGGACAGUCCCCGCCGCCGCCGCCGCCAAGGAAAGCACCGCCACCGCCACCACCACCACCUUGGGAAUUCUGCGUCUUUGAUAAUUCUCCUCACGCCGGAGGCAGCCCGGCGGGCGGCGGCGACGACGACGACGACCCGGGCGACUCGCAGAGCAGCUCGAGACCAUGAGUAAAGAGAGACAGAAUGGUGAAAAAAAUAGCUUGAGAUGGUUGGUCCAGCACCUCGGACUUCUUAGGAGGAGCAGAAGAGGCUUGUUGUCAGAUCUCCAAGAUCAGAUCUGCUAUCAACAUAUAGAAGCCUGUGCUGCCCAGUGAUUGGACAUCUACAAUGUGCCCAGUCUUUCCCGGAUCAUACAAUGGAUUCUGAAGACACACGUGUGAUAGGAUGUGACAAGGAUUUCAGGAAACAAGGCAAGCACAUGUCAAGCUGUACAAUAUGAUGAAGGUGUGAUGAAGUAGAAGACAGAAUGAAGUUGAAACCAGUAAAAAUGGUAAAUAUUAAUAAAAGAAGAUGUAAGGAAGACUUCAGAAAUCAAGCCAACGAGCUGGACCCAAAGGCAAAGCUGUGGUUAGCUACAUGGCCAAGAAGGAGCGAACAUAGAGGACUAGCAUCUGAAGUUAAAGAAUUACAGUGUUUCUGUCCAAUCCAAACACUUCAUAUUGCUUGAGGUAGUUCAUAUCUCCUAUGAAUGGGAAACAGUUCUAAAGCUUCUCCAAGUAUCAACUGGCUCGGCAUCAUUCUUGAAAUAGCUCACUACCAAGCUAAAUAUUACUCUCAGAGCAUGAGAGUCUCAGUUUCAAGAUCCUAAAUUUCUGAAUUCCAGCACUCACUAGACAUUUGAUUCCAUUGAAAUAAGCUUGGGGAAAGUUAGCCUUUCUGAGCCUGCAGCCUGCAUUUUCAUAUGUAGCAAACUGAACUCUCAAGUUAUAACAAAUACUUAAUGGCUUCUCAUUUACUUUUAAGUUUUUAUUCUGCUGUUAGGACAAGCAGUCAAUUAGAAACAAUCAUCAUGUGACACUUAAAAAAAUAAGCCAGCUGUCCUGUUUGUGACAGGGGGUAACAAUUGAAUUGUAUGUAAUUGUUGCAGGGUGGGGAGGGCACCUACAAAUAGCCUCAUCAUGGCACCUCACCCCCAUAACAUGUAGAAGAAGUUCACAUGUUGAGCAGGGCUCUGUCAUUUCAGAUCCUUCUGUAUCCCUGUUUGGUGUGGACCUGAAGGCAUCCUGUAUAUUUCAACCCAUCUGGGAACGGUAUUAGAGGCCAUUUUCAGCAGCAUCCCUGUGACAACCAUAUAGGUGCUCCACAUUUCUAAAAGAGUCAGAUUAAUUCCUCUAUUAGUGGAAUAUGGCUGCAUGGAAAUUAACACAGAGUGGUUGUGUGACAUUAUUGUAUGAUAGCUUAACUAAAGCUGUUGCUCCUUCCACUGUCCUUAAACUUCCUAACUAUUGGGAGGUGGCUACUAUCUUGAGAUAGAAUGAAUGGAUUAAUGUAGCUCAGUUAUGGAUAUUUGAACCUGGAUCUCCUUUAACUGCUAUUCUUCACUUCCUUUAUUCUUUUAGUGGGUCAAUUUUUGUUCUAAAAUAAUAUUUCUAUUCUGAAAAGCAGCAUUUCCAAAAAGAAAAAAAACAGAUUAAAAGGAUGUCACAUUACAUAAGCAAUCUCCAUAUUAUUUCAGACAGCCAUGGGAGCUUCGGAAGGGAUUACCUUCCUUAUGGAAGGAAGCCAUUGGCAUGUACACUUCUUGUAUCAUUCCUUUGUAUUGAAAGCCCAAGAACAUGUAGAAGAGGCCAAUAAUAUUGCCUAAGUUUUUCCCUAGUACGGUGGCUCUUUGCUUGUGAACUUGGGCUCCUCAUGACACUGAAGGACACACUGUAGCAGCCCUCCUGCUGUUCAGUUUCCCUCAGAAAGGGACCUCAGCCAUACAUUGUAUAGUUUUCAUCUGACUAUGCAAACUAAGUGGAUAUGCAACAUGCCAAAACAGAAGAAAUGCUUAGUUAAAACAGACUUGGCUGGAUCUUGCUGAAAUCUCAUGGGACUAAGUCCCAUUAUAUCCACUUGGAUUUAUCUAUAGAUUCAGCUGCCUAAGAUUGGACAGUUCAUUUUCUCCAUGCCCUUAUGAUGUAAUAACAUGCUGAUCUUAGUGAGUAUGUAUGUACUAUAGUAUAUGUAUUCCAUUUAUUUUAUUGCAUUCUCAACCAAGCACUAAACAGAGUUUUCUGGGGCAUGUACCAUCUGUAUCCUAUUUAGUAACAGCUAUCUCAUCCGGAAAUCCAAUUUCUGCAGCAACAGAGUAUCACUAUUAAUAUUAUAGUACUACCCAUAUAUUUAGUCUGUAACAACAAAUAGGAAGAUCUGUCUCUGUCCUGAGAGGCUUAAAAUGUAUAUAUCAACAAAAUGGUGACAGCAGUGGAAAUGAAGAUAAAUGUAAGCUCUGUUGCAUGCAUUCAUAAUCUGUUAAACAGAAUGUGUAAGAUAGGGGAGUCCCUUCCUCACUCUCUGCUUAUGGAACACAAUAACCUGGAGAAGAGUGUUUGCUCUGCUUAUGGAAGCUCUUCACAGGAUCAAGACCCCUGUUUUAAUGGAAGAUUUUCUUCUCAGACUCUUACUCAUCACAUGGGGGUAGCAUGCACCACAUCCUCUUAUAUUGGGCUUAAAUCAUUUAUGAAUGUCCCAGGUAGGAUAUAUAGGGGGAAGAAAAGGGGAUAGUUAUUUUUCAUGGAGUUCUUGGAAGUAGCAAUAUAAUUAUGAAAUUCCCUCCCUUGAAAACUCGCCAGAGUUCAAAUAUGAAAAUUCUCCUGGAAAAGAUCAGUUGAUUAUAUUUUGUGACUGAGAACAAAUUUACCUGGAAGCAGAUAAAAUCGCUUUGAUGUCAACUUUUCAAAUAUUAAAAUGUUGAUACAUGUUGUCAUAUGUACAGAUAUUUGUGGUUAUGCAGUGCUAUGAUCUGUCUGAUCAACCCUUAAAAUGGGGGCGUGAGAAAGAAAAAAGAUAUAUAAGCAGGUAUAAUAUAGAGGCCAAGAAACUGAACUGUGUACCAACUUUUCCACACUACUACCAUGAUCUCAUUCUGCAGUCUAGGGCAAUCCUACUGACAUUCAGUCACCAUUAUUAUAAUGUUCCUGGUGGAUCUGCUGUAAACAUUAAUU